GAGAAAGCUAAGUGUUGAUGACAGUGUGGGCCUGACCGUGCCUGAGUAAGCCCCAUGGGAACACAGCCGUGGUGGGAAGCAGCUUCCCAGCAGCCCUCCCCGCCAUCGGGAGAAUCCCCUGAGGCCAUGAGAGGGUCUCAGGGAGGUGGACGGCCCAUCAAGUGAGAACCGAGGGCACUGUGCACUCCUGAAUCCUAGGACUCCUCUUAGGUCAUUGACUAACAACAUCAACAAUGAAAUGAAUCUGAGAAAACAGGAAAUUGAGAGCAAGAGAAAAAAAAGUUAAUUAUACUGAUUUUGUAUAAGACCCCUUUGAACACAUUUUUAAAAAAUCAAAUAGAAGGUGCCCAGGUCCACUGUGCCUUGUGAAUAUUUGUCUUGUAUAUCCUAGAGAUCUACGCAUUCAUGUGGGAAUUGAAAAGGACCCACAUUUUACUAGAAGCAUCGUUCAUUUUUGCCUCAAAACAAUGCCCACAUGUCAGAAGAACUUUCACAAUUCACAGGAACAGUGACCUAAUUAACCAACCAUAAAAUUGCCAAAUCCCUACUUCUCAUUGUUUAAUAUGCUUAGAAAACCCAUUCAAAUUGUGAAUUAUCAAGUGAGCUUACACUGAUAAAUAGAUCCAAUAUUUAGGAAUUUUUAAAUCUUCCAUUCCUUUUUUUUUUUUGUCUUUUUAAAAAUAGAACAUUAGAAUAUGUCCUCCAGGUUUUAGAGAUGGGGGAGACAUGCUUCCCUUUAUUUCUCAGUAACUCAGCCAAAAAAAAUCUGGAGAGAAUGCAAAGACAGCUACUGGAAACUUUGAAAAGUAGAUGUGAGCCCAUCAGGGAAGAGCUAGAGAAUCUGAAAUCUACUCGAAAAAGUGAGUUUGAUACUUUGUGUUCCUAUCCUAACUCCACACAGCCUGAAACUUGGAAGUGAGCAUGAUGGAGUGGAUACAGUGAGAUGCAGAAGAAAUCCUCCAGUUUGGGCUGGAAGGGAAAAAAGAGACCCCUAAAACUCAGAGACAGUGGAAGAAAUUCCUGGUGUUUUUUUCUUCUCUUUUUCUCUGUUCUUCCACAUAGCAAUUUAGUAUUGACUACAGCAUCUCUGUUACAAUGAUAGCACCGAAAUGUUGUAACCAUAUGGCCUGCAAAGCCAAAAAUACUUAUCUGACCAUCUACAGGAAAAGUUUGCUGAUCUGGAUGAAAUAUUCUGAUACUAAAUAUUCCAUUUUGAGGCUGAUAUUCCUAAUCUAUUCAUAAGGAUGGCAUAUCUACCCAGUGGGCCUGCUGGGACUCCAGUUACCCGAUGCACAUACAUUGCUUGGUGGUCAGUAAAUAUUAUUUUGCUUUCUUUAUUCCUUUGUGGAAAAAUUUCAGGUAGAGAAGAAACCUGAAAUAAUUUGAAGAACUUUAAAAUUUUUUUCACCCACUAAUUUAUAUUCUCAUUAGCAAAAAGAACCGAAUAUUGGUAGCUCUAUACUUUAUAAUAAAGAUGUGGAACUUCUUGAUUACUCUUUCCUUCUUCUACGUUGACUCAUUCUAUCACUAUUAAUUCACUCAGGAAAUGCUGAUUGAGCAGCUCCUUUGUAUAGAUGUUAAUAGCACGGUUCUCGCCAUAGGUCACAGAGGUUGGUUUGCUGAGCAACUCUGAGAACCCGUUUUUAAGUUCCCUGACUCUCCUAUUCACUGGAAUGGAAUGCCUUGCUGUCUGGGCCCUCCUUGCUUCACCUUCCAAUGAACUGAAAUCAUCACACUGAUCCUAUUGUAGCGGAGAGUGGUGUGUUAAAACCAUAACCAUAACCCCGUCUGGAGACCAGCCUCAGCUCUGUCGCUUUCUUAUCUCUUCAGAUGCAGCAGAUAGUUACCUCUAACUUUUAGUUUGCCUCAGACAUUAAGAAUAAAAUCAUAUUCAGCAUAAUUUAGGUGUCAUUCUCCACAUUCCACUGGUGCUAACAAACAUUUUUGUAUUGUUCCCAUGUGUCAACAAUAGCAAUCUGUGGCUCAUUAUAAGUGACAGCAAAUGUCAACAAGCCUGCCUCCUGGAGAUUUGUUUGUAAAGAUUCCUUAUCAGUUGUUGUUAUUUAUACCCCUGGCUUCUAUCGUCAUUGAUUAUUCUAUAUAUUUUCCUCCUUCAAGUGAAUGUACAAAGAGACCAAGAAAACCUCAGUCAAACUUGGAAAUUUCCUUUGUAAUAUUCUUUUUAAAGUUAGUUAUGUGGCAGUUUCGUGUGCAUUUUUGGUGAUGAUGCUCCACGGAACAUCUGCAGAUGUGCUGUCAAUUUGGACAGCUCUGACUACCGAGUGAAUGGGAAGUACUAACGAGAACUGUCUGCUUGGGAACUCCAUGAAGUUCGUGGCUUUUGUGAUUGAAAUAGCAUCAAUAAAAGGUUGACACUGUGGAACAACACAAGCCUGCAUGGACCUGGUUAUCUCUGACCUCGCACCACUCAUGAGACCAUACCUGAGCCCUACUCCACUUUGGCAGAACUGUUGCAUGGCCUCUCUUCAUAUAAUACCUCUCCGUACACCGUACACCGCAGCUCAAAGAAAGGAUAUAUGCUCCCUGUGAAGACUAAUGGAACUGUCCCUCCUGAUCCUCCUACAGACUUCCUCUGGCCUAAUGGGUGCACCAUUGCAUUAUAUCUGCCAUCUAUACACACAUAUACCUUUCAACCCUGCACUCUCUGAGAUGACUGGACUCAUGCCUAAAUAACUGAUGCUGUCCCUAGUGUAAGGAAGCUGCCUGACGAGGAGCUGUACGGAAAUAAGAGUAAUUCAGUGAUGGGGUCCAAGCAUCCUGAAUAUAAGCGGUCCAUGUCAAGAAAGAGCCAAAGGGCGUCCUCAGGACAUGGAAGAGGGGCAUUCCAGGCUGGCAGCUGGGGAGGCCCAGAGAGCCCUGGAGAAGAUCUGAAGUCCAUUGCAGAGCUUUCUUUAAGACUACUGAAUUGUACAGAAGAAGCAGAAAUGAAAAAAAAAUUAAAAAUAUAGAAAUGAUGUAUUUUAAUGAGAUUUAAACAUCUAGGGGAGAGUUUGGGGUGGGAAUGCUGAUAAGUUCAUAGAAAAGUAAGCAAAUGAAAACAAGACAAAAAUAAUAAA
This 3077-nucleotide long non-coding RNA is filed under the name Homo sapiens (human). RNAcentral's name for it is "HSALNT0380289". The record is from RNAcentral. Lineage: Eukaryota; Metazoa; Chordata; Mammalia; Primates; Hominidae.